AUUGCUUCUCGGCCUUUUGGCUAAGAUCAAGUGUAGUAUCUGUUCUUAUCAGUUUAAUACCCUUGACCUGCUCAUUUGUUCAGAAGCUCUUUCCUGCCACCAUUA
This 105-nucleotide small nuclear RNA is filed under the name Zalophus californianus (California sea lion). Its description in RNAcentral is "U2 spliceosomal RNA (ENSZCAG00015024393.1)". It matches the Rfam family "U2 spliceosomal RNA". Rfam says of the family: U2 is a small nuclear RNA (snRNA) component of the spliceosome (involved in pre-mRNA splicing). RNAcentral also lists the same sequence under 1 other name. The record is from RNAcentral. Lineage: Eukaryota; Metazoa; Chordata; Mammalia; Carnivora; Otariidae.